This 473-nucleotide non-coding RNA is filed under the name Linnemannia elongata AG-77. Its description in RNAcentral is "Mortierella elongata AG-77 Eukaryotic large subunit ribosomal RNA". It matches the Rfam family "Eukaryotic large subunit ribosomal RNA", at positions 1891 to 2388 of the family's 3401-position model. Lineage: Eukaryota; Fungi; Mortierellomycota; Mortierellomycetes; Mortierellales; Mortierellaceae. The record is from Rfam by way of RNAcentral.
UAGAACAGUUUAGAUAAGAGGACUCGGGAAAAAAAUAUCUGUAACUUCGGGAAAAAUGUCUAAGGAAUGGGGUGCUCCUGUGCUGAAAUUUAAGGUUUUUCUUACGAAACUAUCAGUGCAACUGGAUGGGAUCUGUUCGAGACUCUUUUACGGACGCGCUUGAGCCACUUCGGGUGUCCGGUGCACACCUAACACUCAACGUACAAACAAGAGGGAAUCUGAUUGUCUAAUUAAAACACUGCAUUGCGGUGGUUAGAAAGUGGUGUUGACGCAAUGUGAUUUCCGCCCAGUGUUCUGGAUGUCAACACGAAGAAAAUCAACCAAGAGCGGGGUAAACGAUGGGAGUAACUUUGACUUUCUAAAGACACCCCAAUACCUCGUCAUCUAACUAGUGAUGCGCAUGGUGGAUUUACGAGAUUUCUAUUGACCCUAUCUACUAUCUGGCGAAUCCAUAGUCAAGGGAAGGGCCUUAG